AGCGACAGACGCAGCCGAGCUUCUGCACUCAGCUUUAAUUCCAAAUACGACUUCACAAGUUAAAGUUCGAGGCGUCAUCGGUGGGACGUGACUAUCAGUGUGCAUGCCGUUGGUGCUGCUGGCAGAGGUCAGGGUCCAGCGUGUAGUACAGCCUAGUGGCUCCGAGCCCAGACCUUCCACAUAUUACAGAGAACAUGUAUCAUCAGCAAGGCAGCAGAGCUGCAUCAAAACCAGGUGUAAAUAAAAAAUGAAGGUAUGAUUGCUGCACCCGGAUUGUCUGAUGAGAUUGGCUCCACUAUCUACUCCACCAUUAACUUGAAGCACAGAGGGUCUGACAGACUGAAGAAGCACCAGCUGCCCAACACUGCCACCCUGUGUUCAAGGUGGACCUCUGAAUCAGGCACCUCAUUAGGCCUCUCCCGCGUCACAGUGACGUCAUCGUCGGGGCGAGGGGCGGGAAUGUGACGGCCCGUCCACGGUGCAUGUGGUCCAGAGGCACCGUGCACGCGUCCGUCCCCAUUUGGAGCGUGCAGCCGGGGUCCACCACGACGCUGCUGUGUGAAGACCGGCCUCGGCGUGGGCCAGCUGGGCGCCGGGGGAGAGGCUGCACAUUCACAGCAAACACACAAGAAGCCCCGCGCUCACUCAGAGGAGCGCGGACGGCGGUCGCUCUGUGCAGACUCAACGGAGACUGUGGCGUUUGGGAUCAUAACAACGGCUCCUCGGGGUCGUGUGAAAACAGUGAAAGAGCUAAAACACAUUUAGUGCCAUUCUAGGGCUUAACUCCAAGGUGUGAUCACUGUUUGCUCAACCCAAAUCCUGCACUAGCCCAACAGACGAGGUCGUAUGCAGAUAAAGCACAGGCUGCAGGAUUUUGACUUUCUCCAAACCUAAUCUGUGAGCGAGGGAGGUGGUCGUGGAGUCCCACGGCGUGAGCCACGAGGCUGUUUUCUUAAAAAGCUGAAUAAGGCCUCGCGGCGGUGAGAGGUGACACAAGGGACUCCUAAAGCCAGUGAUUUAUGGCAGGGAACAGGAAUCCCCACGCUGAGCGCAGCAGGUGUGGCCUGAAGCCUGCGACAGUGGUGAUCAGCAGCAGAGAUGAAGGCAGGACCUGAAGGUUACACACAUUCACCGUUACCUAACUAAACCAAAAACCACAUUUUGAAUCAUUCUGAAUGAAAGCCAGCGAAAAUAAUGUAAUAAUCAACAGUAACACAACCCAGAUAUAAGAUGAAGAGAUUAAGAACUACACAUUAGUAAACAAACUCAUUUUGGGUCAUCUGUGUUUCUUUGUGUUUAUGUUGCAUUUAUUUAUUUUUACAUUUUACAUACAAAGACUGUGUGUCCACAUUCUGUUAUUGAGUUGCUGUUAUUCUGUGGUCUUUUCUUGGUUUGGGAGCAUUCUGUUUGUAUUGUUGUGUAUUUUCAUCUGUGUUGUGUCACACAGUGACUCUGCGUGUACAUACUUCACACUACACAUCUUAGCGUCCUUAUAAUUUAAAUUCAUUUAGAUUUGACGAAGAUCCGCUUUCUGUCGCAUCACAUGAUCACGUGGUUCAGUAGCAUAGCAGCCAGUUUGUUGCCCCUUUGCUCACGGGUGGCGUUAGUUCAGUGUGACCUUUAAGGUAAAGAAGGUCAAGGUUCACUGAUCUGGGCGAUGGGCCAAAAGUUCAAAAUAGUAAAAGUCUGAAAAGAGAGAAGCUGACUACACAUUUGUUGAAAAGCAUCGUCGCUAUAACCCUAAUUCACUUUUUGUCCACCUAAAGAAUCUCCCAGCAGCUGGACGCCCCUGGUGACAUCAUCAAGUGUAAAUAUUAACUUAGUGUGAGAUCAGAAUCCGGCAAGAGGGACAUAAAUAUUUCCAGGCUAUAUUUAGGAAACUUUAACCUUUUUUGUAGAAGCUGCUGACAGUUGUUGAGUUCAGUCCUUUUUUGUGCCACCGACUGAUUAAUAGAUCCCAAAUAACUCUGGUUACUUUCUCGCAGGUCUAAAUUCCUCAGCUCUGUGUCCCUGUGGCUGACGUGACACGGACACUUCUAGAUGUUUACCCCUGUUUGCACUGCAAAUCCCAAGAUUGCCUCAUAGCGAAGAGGGAAGGAGGGAGGAAUGCGGAUGCCUUACAAAGCGAAAUGCCCUAAAGUCAUCUGGAAAUGUGACGGCGCUGAACGCCUGGGAGCAGAUUCCUGAUUCCUGGCGGCCGGUUGCUGUGGCGAUGGGCUGAUUGUUUCUGCUUUAUGACUGUGAAAUAGAAACUCGGCAGUGCAAAUGUUUAGAAAUGCACGUAUAGUUGCCGUGAUGCCCAGAAACACUACCUGGUGGAAUGUGCUGCUAAAGGCUGCAGCUAGUUGUGUGCCGGGUUCAUCCAGCUGAAGAGAACAGUGAGACUGAGACAAGACAUUUAAGAUAUAAGAUGUGGACAAAGCAAACAAAGCUAAAAAGGCUCUUAGUGAACUCUAUAUGUUGUUAUUUUUUGCCACAUUUAACAGUUUUUAACAGAGUUUGUGCCAUGUUGUGUGUGAAUUGUGCACCUCAUGGCCAUUAAAGGAGCAGUCCGCUGCUGUAAGUCGACCUCAGAGACUCACAGUGUGUGCGUGAUUAGCAGCCUGGGAUCAGUAGGCGACUCCACUUUUACGUGCGGCGGCGUAAAGCGGAACAGGUGCCGGCCGGAUGGCGAGAGGCAGUUGCGAGGCCCAUUGAGGCUUCAUUACUGGAACAGGAAGAGAACCCAAGCACGUGGGCAAACACACACAACUCAUUACCCCCAGACUAUUGUGUACCUUUCACACCACAACUCAAAGUGUGUGCCUGUGUCAGUGUAUGUGCGUGCGGUGCAUUUAUUGCAUUUAUAUGAGUUUUGUGUUUAAAUGGCUGGGUGGGGAACGUCGUGCGGGUCCUCGGAGGUCCGAUGUGCACCGGCGGUGGUGAGUGUUACAACUGUGGCUGAGAGAUGAUGGAUGAUGUCUGUGGAUCAGUAUCACAGCCAUUUAAGAGUGUGAAGCCUUGUCAGUACAUGUUACUGUGCUACAUACGCUGCUAUUGCUACUAAAUCAGGCUGCGACCAAUAAGCUGACUCAGCGGAUGCUUCCAGCAUCCACCCUUUAACACCACUGUGUCACUGAGCCCCACUCACCCACUGUCUACAUAUGAGGCACGCACACAUGAGGCCUGGACACACUGCUGGUCUCUGUUCUUAUCCAACGCAAUGAUGUACAGUACAGUCAGGGUCCAGUCAUGCGUCAGAAUGACUGCGUCGUUGUAGACAGGUGUCAAACGAACCCUGGAAAGAGUCUGUCACCAUAAACGGACAAAGAACCUCUGAGAAAACGAUUAUUUUUAGUCUGAACGCUUCAGUGUUUGUUCAAAAGCUUUUCACCAAUGACUAUGAUUUGUCGUCAUGGGAACAUUGAUUAAAAUGAAAGAAGGUGGCAAAACGCAUCUUAACCAUGUUCCACUAAUGGAAGA
Molecule: long non-coding RNA, 3462 nt
Organism: Betta splendens (Siamese fighting fish)
Lineage: Eukaryota; Metazoa; Chordata; Actinopteri; Anabantiformes; Osphronemidae
Exons: 3
Source: RefSeq, a predicted model, not a curated record